This 304-nucleotide unclassified non-coding RNA is filed under the name Hevea brasiliensis (rubber tree). The record is from RNAcentral. Lineage: Eukaryota; Viridiplantae; Streptophyta; Magnoliopsida; Malpighiales; Euphorbiaceae.
GUCAACAGAGCUUGGACAUAAGAAAUGAAGUCAGCCACCUGAGCCGUUUCGCAAAGACAGCAAGGCUUUGAACAUUUGAUCAGGUAGACAUUAGACUUGCCGGUUACUGACCCUAACCUUUAUGUAGAAGAAAAUCAGGUUUUUGCUUAUCAUGACGCGAGAACUUGACGGCUAAGCAACUUCAAACGAAACUGUGCGAUCAUUAUCAUCUUUUGACCUUAAAACGAGGAGAACGUCGGAGAGAUGAUGCAGAUCCAGGAGAUAGGAGUGCUGCCCUACUCCCUUUGGCACGGUCAACUUUCUU